CGGGGGGAGCAAGCGUUGUUCGGAUUUACUGGGCGUAAAGGGCGCGUAGGCGGCCUCUGCAAGUCGACUGUGAAAUCUCCGGGCUUAACCCGGAAUGGUCAGCCGAUACUGCAGGGCUAGAGUGCAGAAGGGGCAACUGGAAUUCUCGGUGUAGCGGUGAAAUGCGUAGAUAUCGAGAGGAACACCUGCGGCGAAGGCGGGUUGCUGGGCUGACACUGACGCUGAAGCGCGAAAGCUAGGGGAGCGAACGGGAUUAGAUACCCCGGUAGUCCUAGCCUUAAACGAUGAAUGCUUGGUGUCUGGGGUUUUAUAGUCCCCGGGUGCCGUCGCUAACGCUUUAAGCAUUCCGCCUGGGGAGUACGGUCGCAAGACUG
RNAcentral lists this ribosomal RNA (374 nucleotides) under uncultured organism. RNAcentral's name for it is "bacterial SSU rRNA". It matches the Rfam family "Bacterial small subunit ribosomal RNA", at positions 526 to 896 of the family's 1533-position model. The record is from RNAcentral.